GUUAUAGGAUCAAGUGACUAAGUGCACAUGGUGGAUGCCUUGGCGAUCACAGGCGAUGAAGGACGCGAUAGCCUGCGAAAAGCUACGGGGAGUUGGCAAAUAAGCAUUGAUCCGUAGAUAUCCGAAUGGGGAAACCCACUGACGUAAGUCA
RNAcentral lists this ribosomal RNA (151 nucleotides) under Oligella urethralis. Its description in RNAcentral is "partial 23S ribosomal RNA". It matches the Rfam family "Bacterial large subunit ribosomal RNA", at positions 1 to 147 of the family's 2925-position model. Lineage: Bacteria; Pseudomonadati; Pseudomonadota; Betaproteobacteria; Burkholderiales; Alcaligenaceae. The record is from RNAcentral.